This 465-nucleotide ribosomal RNA is filed under the name Triticum aestivum (bread wheat). Its description in RNAcentral is "partial small subunit ribosomal RNA". The record is from RNAcentral. Lineage: Eukaryota; Viridiplantae; Streptophyta; Magnoliopsida; Poales; Poaceae.
AUGCCAUCCGCCGGGCCAUCCAUGUCGGCGGCGGAUGGGCUCCUCACGCUAGCGGAGGAGGCCGAGCGCCUCCGCGACUUCACCACCGCCACCUCCUGCCUGGACUCGGCGCUCAGCCCGCCCCACACCGCCUCGCUCCUCCCGCUCGUCGAGGCCCGCGCGCGGAUGUGCCUCGCUGGCCUACUGCUCACCCGCUCCAAGGGGCUCGCCAAUGCCAAGGCCCACCUCGAGCGCGCGCUGCUCGUCCUCAACCCGCUCCCCUCCGCUCCGCCGUGCCUCAAUCUGCUCGCGCACUCCCUCCUCGCCAACGUCUACGGCCUCCUCGGCGCCCUCCCGUCGCAGAAGCACGCGCUCUACCGCAGCCUCAGCCUCCUUGCAUCUGCCUCCGCCUCGGGGCUUCUCCCCCUGGCCCGGCCCUCCUCUGGACCAGUAACUUCCAGGCGCAGCUUGCCUUCCCACUCGUAG